AACGCGAAGAACCUUACCUGGGCUUGAACUACUGGUAGUAAGUCUUUGGAAACAUAGACUGAUCCGCAAGGAAGCCAGCAGAGGUGCUGCAUGGUUGUCGUCAGCUCGUGUCGUGAGAUGUUGGGUUAAGUCCCGCAACGAGCGCAACCCCUAUCUCAUGUUGCUAAUCCCGCAAGGGAUGCACUCUUGAGAAACUGCCUUCGAUAAGAAGGAGGAAGGUGGGGACGACGUCAAAUCCUCAUGGCCCUUAUGUCCAGGGCUACACACGUGCUACAAUGGCCGGUACAACGGGAAGCAAUACCGCAAGGUGGAGCAAAACCCUGAAAGCCGGCCUCAGUUCAGAUCGUGGGCUGCAACUCGCCCACGUGAAGGCGGAAUCGCUAGUAAUCGCGAAUCAGCAGGUCGCGGUGAAUACGUUCCCGGGCCUUGUA
RNAcentral lists this ribosomal RNA (431 nucleotides) under uncultured Elusimicrobium sp. RNAcentral describes it as "bacterial SSU rRNA". It matches the Rfam family "Bacterial small subunit ribosomal RNA", at positions 958 to 1385 of the family's 1533-position model. The record is from RNAcentral. Lineage: Bacteria; Pseudomonadati; Elusimicrobiota; Elusimicrobia; Elusimicrobiales; Elusimicrobiaceae.